This 554-nucleotide ribosomal RNA is filed under the name uncultured bacterium. RNAcentral's name for it is "partial 16S ribosomal RNA". It matches the Rfam family "Bacterial small subunit ribosomal RNA", at positions 355 to 925 of the family's 1533-position model. The record is from RNAcentral.
UGGGGAAUAUUGCACAAUGGGCGAAAGCCUGAUGCAGCAACGCCGCGUGAGUGAUGAAGGCCUUCGGGUUGUAAAGCUCUGUCUUUCGGGACGAUAAUGACGGUACCAAAGGAGGAAGCCACGGCUAACUACGUGCCAGCAGCCGCGGUAAUACGUAGGUGGCAAGCGUUGUCCGGAUUUACUGGGCGUAAAGGAUGCGUAGGCGGAUUUUUAAGUGAGAUGUGAAAACCCUAAGCUUAACUUGGGGACUGCAUUUCAUACUGGAAAUCUAGAGUGCGGGAGAGGAGAAUGGAAUUCCUAGUGUAGCGGUGAAAUGCGUAGAGAUUAGGAAGAACACCAGUGGCGAAGGCGAUUCUCUGGACCGUAACUGACGCUGAGGCAUGAAAGCGUGGGUAGCAAACAGGAUUAGAUACCCUGGUAGUCCACGCCGUAAACGAUGAGUACUAGGUGUAGGAGGUAUCGACCCCUUCUGUGCCGCAGUUAACACAAUAAGUACUCCGCCUGGGAAGUACGAUCGCAAGAUUAAAACUCAAAGGAAUUGACGGGGUCAUAGC